RNAcentral lists this ribosomal RNA (254 nucleotides) under uncultured bacterium. RNAcentral's name for it is "partial 16S ribosomal RNA". It matches the Rfam family "Bacterial small subunit ribosomal RNA", at positions 524 to 776 of the family's 1533-position model. The record is from RNAcentral.
UACGUAGGGUGCAAGCGUUGUCCGGAGUUACUGGGCGUAAAGGGCGUGCAGGCGGUUUUCUAAGUUCGGAGUGACAGUUCCCGGCUCAACUGGGGAAGGCCUACCGAAAACUGGAGAACUUGAGGGCCAGAGAGGGACAUAGAAUUCCGGGUGGAGUGGUGAAAUGCGUAGAUAUCUGGAGGAACACCGGUGGCGAAGGCGGCAUCCUGGACCGACACUGACGCUGAGGAGCGAAAGCCAGGGGAGCAAACGGG